RNAcentral lists this transfer RNA (63 nucleotides) under Rattus norvegicus (Norway rat). It matches the Rfam family "tRNA", at positions 1 to 62 of the family's 71-position model. From Rfam's summary of the family: Transfer RNA (tRNA) molecules are approximately 80 nucleotides in length. The record is from Rfam by way of RNAcentral. Lineage: Eukaryota; Metazoa; Chordata; Mammalia; Rodentia; Muridae.
GGGGAUUUAGCUCAGUGGUAGAGUGCUUGCCUAGCAAGCACAAAGCCCUGGGUUCAGUCCCCA